This 265-nucleotide small nucleolar RNA is filed under the name Lodderomyces parapsilosis CDC317. Its description in RNAcentral is "Candida parapsilosis CDC317 Small nucleolar RNA snR191". It matches the Rfam family "Small nucleolar RNA snR191". The record is from Rfam by way of RNAcentral. Lineage: Eukaryota; Fungi; Ascomycota; Pichiomycetes; Serinales; Debaryomycetaceae.
ACCCAACGAUUUUAGUCAAGGUAAUGAAUAAUAGGAGCAACACUCAUGUGUGUGGCAAUCCUUACAAUUCGACAUUCUUACCUGUUACAUUGUUGGAAGAUCAAGGAAAUACUGCCUUUUACUUGAUUGUCAUCGUUUUGAUGUCUGAUCGAGUGCUUUUUUAAUCAAGUAUUCAGGAUUCUUCUUGAGUUGAAGCUAAUCUUGCUUUUUGUAUUCUUUACAAAUUAUACAUUACAUUAGUUUCGUAGUAUAGGAUCCAACAUUU